CCCCACUCACCAUCACAGGCAUAGAUCAUUUUCAGCAGCAAAUUCAAAACAACAGUAUUUCACAAAUAAAACUUAACCUAAUUACUCUUUAUUUCA
Octopus sinensis (East Asian common octopus) is the source of this 96-nucleotide long non-coding RNA. RefSeq lists it as uncharacterized. The record is from RefSeq and is a predicted model, not a curated record. Lineage: Eukaryota; Metazoa; Mollusca; Cephalopoda; Octopoda; Octopodidae. The transcript has 3 exons.